This is an RNA transcript of Piliocolobus tephrosceles (Ugandan red Colobus), 859 nucleotides long. It is a transcript of the gene named phosphohistidine phosphatase 1, with no coding region annotated. The record is from RefSeq and is a predicted model, not a curated record. The transcript has 5 exons. Lineage: Eukaryota; Metazoa; Chordata; Mammalia; Primates; Cercopithecidae.
GGAUCCGCGCUGCUGCCUGGAAGCUUCUGCCGGUGCCGGGGACGCAGCGGUGCCGGGGACACAGAGGAGCCGACCUGGGGGUGACACAGCCCACCGGGGCCAGCCGGAGCAGCACCCAGAGCCCGCCUUCCGCAGUACAAGCAGUCCCCGGGUCGGGUGGGAGGAGGGGCCUCCGGGACGAAGAACAUGGCGGCGGCGGACCUCGCUCACAUUCCUGAUGUGGACAUCGACUCCGACGGCGUCUUCAAGUAUGUGCUGAUCCGAGUCCACUCGGCUCCGCGCUCCGGGGCUCCGGCUGCGGAGAGCAAGGAGAUCGUGCGCGGCUACAAGUGGGCCGAGUACCAUGCGGACAUCUACGACAAAGUGUCGGGCGACAUGCAGAAGCAGGGCUGUGACUGUGAGUGUCUGGGCGGCGGGCGCAUCUCCCACCAGAGCCAGGACAAGAAGAUUCACGUGUACGGCUACUCCAUGAGGCAGUCAGUACCUGGGUGGAGUUCAGAGUCCCCGCCCGUGCUCUUCACAAAAACCACCAGCAGAUGAGAGCCACGUGCGUCCCUCUGGGUGCCUCAAGCCCCAGGAUCCACCCUCAAGGCCUAUGGUCCUGCCCAGCACGCCAUUUCAACUGAGAAAAUCAAAGCCAAGUACCCCGACUACGAGGUUACCUGGGCUAACGAUGGCUACUGAGCACUCCCAGCCUGGGGCCUGCUACCUCCAGCAGCCAUGUCGGAGCCCCCGCCUUUGCCUGCACCCCUUUUGGGGUUGGCCGUGCCUGCUUCUGCAGCAGCCCCUGGUAAUGUGCUGUCUGCCAGGCUUUGUAGACAGGCUAGCUUGGCCACAGAAUUAAACAUGUUGCCACGCC